This 492-nucleotide ribosomal RNA is filed under the name uncultured bacterium. RNAcentral describes it as "partial 16S ribosomal RNA". It matches the Rfam family "Bacterial small subunit ribosomal RNA", at positions 29 to 507 of the family's 1533-position model. The record is from RNAcentral.
AGUGAACGCUGGCGGUAGGCCUAACACAUGCAAGUCGAACGGCAGCACAGUAAUAGCUUGCUCUUACGGGUGGCGAGUGGCGGACGGGUGAGGAAUACAUCGGAAUCUACUUUUUCGUGGGGGAUAACGUAGGGAAACUUACGCUAAUACCGCAUACGACCUACGGGUGAAAGCAGGGGAUCUUCGGACCUUGCGCGAUUGAAUGAGCCGAUGUCGGAUUAGCUAGUUGGCGGGGUAAAGGCCCACCAAGGCGACGAUCCGUAGCUGGUCUGAGAGGAUGAUCAGCCACACUGGAACUGAGACACGGUCCAGACUCCUACGGGAGGCAGCAGUGGGGAAUAUUGGACAAUGGGCGCAAGCCUGCUCCAGCCAUACCGCGUGGGUGAAGAAGGCCUUCGGGUUGUAAAGCCCUUUUGUUGGGAAAGAAAAGCAGCAGGUUAAUACCCCGCUGUUCUGACGGUACCCAAAGAAUAAGCACCGGCUAACUUCGUG